This 422-nucleotide ribosomal RNA is filed under the name uncultured Filimonas sp. Its description in RNAcentral is "bacterial SSU rRNA". It matches the Rfam family "Bacterial small subunit ribosomal RNA", at positions 355 to 774 of the family's 1533-position model. The record is from RNAcentral. Lineage: Bacteria; Pseudomonadati; Bacteroidota; Chitinophagia; Chitinophagales; Chitinophagaceae.
UAAGGAAUAUUGGUCAAUGGACGCAAGUCUGAACCAGCCAUGCCGCGUGGAGGAUGAAGGUCCUCUGGAUUGUAAACUUCUUUUAUCUGGGACGAAAAAGGGAGAUUCUUCUCCAACUGACGGUACCAGAUGAAUAAGCACCGGCUAACUCCGUGCCAGCAGCCGCGGUAAUACGGAGGGUGCAAGCGUUAUCCGGAUUCACUGGGUUUAAAGGGUGCGUAGGCGGGUAUGUAAGUCAGUGGUGAAAUCCCCGAGCUUAACUCGGGAACUGCCAUUGAUACUAUAUAUCUUGAAUAUCCUGGAGGUCUGCGGAAUAUGUCAUGUAGCGGUGAAAUGCUUAGAGAUGACAUAGAACAUCGAUUGCGAAGGCAGCAGGCUACGGGAUGAUUGACGCUGAGGCACGAAAGCGUGGGGAUCAAACA